CUACGGGUGGCUGCAGUGGGGAAUAUUGGACAAUGGGGGCAACCCUGAUCCAGCCAUGCCGCGUGUGUGAAGAAGGCCUUUUGGUUGUAAAGCACUUUAAGCAGUGAAGAAGACCUAACGGUUAAUACCCGUUAGCGAUGACAUUAGCUGCAGAAUAAGCACCGGCUAACUCUGUGCCAGCAGCCGCGGUAAUACAGAGGGUGCAAGCGUUAAUCGGAAUUACUGGGCGUAAAGCGAGCGUAGGUGGCUUGAUAAGUCAGAUGUGAAAUCCCCGGGCUUAACCUGGGAACUGCAUCUGAUACUGUUAAGCUAGAGUAGGUGAGAGGGAAGUAGAAUUCCAGGUGUAGCGGUGAAAUGCGUAGAGAUCUGGAGGAAUACCGAUGGCGAAGGCAGCUUCCUGGCAUCAUACUGACACUGAGGCUCGAAAGCGUGGGUAGCAAACAGGAUUAGAUACCCUAGUAGUC
Molecule: ribosomal RNA, 464 nt
Filed under: uncultured bacterium
Lineage: Bacteria
Description: partial 16S ribosomal RNA
Rfam family: Bacterial small subunit ribosomal RNA
Source: RNAcentral